Molecule: ribosomal RNA, 467 nt
Filed under: uncultured bacterium
Lineage: Bacteria
Description: partial 16S ribosomal RNA
Rfam family: Bacterial small subunit ribosomal RNA (bases 20-332)
Source: RNAcentral
GACGAACGCUGGCGGCGUGCUUAACACAUGCAAGUCGAACGGAAAGGCCCUGCUUUUGUGGGGUGCUCGAGUGGCGAACGGGUGAGUAACACGUGAGUAACCUGCCCUUGACUUUGGGAUAACUUCAGGAAACUGGGGCUAAUACCGGAUAGGAGCUCCUGCUGCAUGGUGGGGGUUGGAAAGUUUCGGCGGUUGGGGAUGGACUCGCGGCUUAUCAGCUUGUUGGUGGGGUAGUGGCUUACCAAGGCUUUGACGGGUAGCCGGCCUGAGAGGGUGACCGGAAAAAGGGGGAAGGAGAUAGGGCCGAGACGCAAGGGGGGGAAAGGGGGGGGGAAUAGUGAAAAAGGGGGGGAGGCGUGAGGAAGCACCGCGGGGGGGGGGAGAAGGGCUGGGGGUUGGAAAACCGUUUGGGCGGGGAAAGAGGGGAGGGGAAGGGAAAGGGAAAAGAAAAACCGGAAAAAUCAGGG